This 975-nucleotide long non-coding RNA is filed under the name Homo sapiens (human). RNAcentral describes it as "HSALNT0376794". Lineage: Eukaryota; Metazoa; Chordata; Mammalia; Primates; Hominidae. The record is from RNAcentral.
GCGGAUCGCAAGGGGAAAAGACCCCGGAAGUACGCCAAAGUAUAAAACCUCAGGUUAAAAGGUCAAAACUAGUACUUGUCCUUCAAGUCGCCCACUUGGCCCUCUUCCAGAUCAUAUGAAGUGUGCGUAUGGUACCUAUUGGAGCUAUCUUGAGCCCAUAUAAAGAGUAAGCUUUAGAAUGACGGCGACUCACAGAGAAAGCUAAGAAUCAUCAGAAAAUGAAAAUCGAUGUCUCUGAAGUCUCUCUUCAGCCAGGAGGCUUUUCCUAUUGAAGCACUCUGGGGCACAUUGAUUUCUCCUAUGUUUUAACUUCAAACAUGGCAUCAUCUGAAACCUAUAUUUUGGAUACGGCACUGUGUGCUAAUGGGCUGCCCACUCCUUCCUGAAACUACAAACUUGGAGGUCAUGUGUUGAGAUGGCAAGAACAAGAUGGAGGCAACUUGGAUCCUAGAGGAACAAGAUUGAGGAGAAUGUGCCCCUUUCCUCCUACCAGCCCAUGUUUAAUUGGGCAUAAGGUUUUGAUGUUCAACGUUUCAUGCAAGUUCAAAAAACUUGAUUCUGGUAGCAAAAUUAUAGCAGGAAGAGGAAGCAGGACACCAGAGGCUUUUCUUUUCAUGGUGAGUGUCAAACUGAAGCAUAGCCAUCCGUACUUUUUAAUGGAAUGAACAAGCUGUGCUCUCUAAAAACCAGAAUAACUAUUAAUAUCAUCAUCAGCUAUGGAAAUACAGUGGCAGAAUGUGUUAUGUCCCUAGCAACAAUCCUUUUUCUCCUCAGAACUCACCUUGCUUACAUCAUUUCUCACCUUAAGAAAUCAAUUAAUUCGAAGACUUCCUCCACCUAUCCCACUCUAAGACUUAAGAGUCUAAGAGAUAAACAAUACAAUUUGUUCUCUCAUUUUCUCUACAGAGACCUCCUAUUCAGAAUUGGGUUUGGGCUCUGCCUUGCCUCAGGAAGUUAAUAAAAUUCACUUUUCAU